AUGCGACCACGGGGAACCAUUGCUGGCUGCUCUUCAGCGUGGCAUUGGCGUCUUGGUUACUACCAUGCUCGACGAUCUUCUGGAGGAGCAUGCCGAAGCUGUAGACAUCACACUUCUCGGCGAUGUGUAGCUCCAUCCAAACCUCCGGCGCGGUGUGCCCAAAAGUGCCGCGUCCGUGGGACAGAGACAUGUGUUUCGGCAUGGUUGACGAGGCUUGCGAGGCCAAAGUCGGCCACCUUGGGCCUGAGGGUGCUGUCGAGGAGGGGGUGCUGGUGGAUACAAAAAUGCUUCUCCUGGGUCCUGGCAACUACGGUGGCUAUCGGAAUCAAGGGGGUGGAGCACCUGCUAAGUGAUCUCAACCUUGAUGGUGCUUGCAAGGAGGAUGCUCUUUGCAAGGAGGUUUGA
This 405-nucleotide ribosomal RNA is filed under the name Triticum aestivum (bread wheat). RNAcentral's name for it is "partial small subunit ribosomal RNA". Lineage: Eukaryota; Viridiplantae; Streptophyta; Magnoliopsida; Poales; Poaceae. The record is from RNAcentral.